AGAGUUUGAUCCUGGCUCAGAACGUACGCUGGCGGCACGCCUAACACAUGCAAGUCGAACGAAGUAGCAAUACUUAGUGGCAGACGGGUGAGUAACAUGUAGGUAUCUGCCCUUUGGCCUGGAAUAACACGAGGAAACUUGUGCUAAUACCGGAUAAGUCUUUACGGAGAAAGCUUUAUGCACCAUUGGAUGAGCCUGCACUUGAUUAGUUUGUUGGUGGGGUAAUGGCCUACCAAGACUGUGAUCAAUAGCUGAUUUGAGAGGAUGAUCAGCCACAUUGGGACUGAGACACGGCCCAAACUCCUACGGGAGGCAGCAGUAGGGAAUCUUGCACAACGGGGGAAACCCUGAUGCAGCGAUGCCGCGUGAGUGAAGAAGGCCUUUGGGUUGUAAAGCUCUUUCGUCGGGGAAGAAAAUGACUGUACCCGAAUAAGAAGGUCCGGCUAACUUCGUGCCAGCAGCCGCGGUAAUACGAAGGGACCUAGCGUAGUUCGGAAUUACUGGGCUUAAAGAGUUCGUAGGUGGUUAAAAAAGUUGGUGGUGAAAUCCCAGAGCUUAACUCUGGAACUGCCAUCAAAACUUUUUAGCUAGAGUAUGAUAGAGGAAAGCAGAAUUUCUAGUGUAGAGGUGAAAUUCGUAGAUAUUAGAAAGAAUACCAAUUGCGAAGGCAGCUUUCUGGAUCAUUACUGACACUGAGGAACGAAAGCAUGGGUAGCGAAGAGGAUUAGAUACCCUCGUAGUCCAUGCUGUAAACGAUGUGUGUUAGACGUUGGAAAUUUAUUUUCUGUGU
Molecule: ribosomal RNA, 790 nt
Filed under: uncultured bacterium
Lineage: Bacteria
Description: bacterial SSU rRNA
Rfam family: Bacterial small subunit ribosomal RNA
Source: RNAcentral